UAUCUCUGUAGAGUCUGCAUAUCAAUAAGCGGAGGAAAAGAAACUAACAAGGAUUCCCUUAGUAACGGCGAGUGAAGCGGGAAGAGCUCAAAUUUGAAGUCUUCAAGGUUUUACCUUGACGAAUUGUAGUUUAAAGAAGUGUUUUCUGUUGAAGUUUCGGUAAAAGUUCUUUGGAAUAGGACAUCAUAGAGGGUGAGAAUCCCGUAUUUGACCAUUUAUUCCAGCUGUGUGAUACACUUUCAAAGAGUCGGAUUGUUUGGGAAUGCAGUCCAAAAUGGGUGGUAAAUUUCAUCUAAAGCUAAAUAUUGGCGAGAGACCGAUAGCGAACAAGUACCGUGAGGGAAAGAUGAAAAGAACUUUGAAAAGAGAGUUAAACAGUACGUGAAAUUGUCAAAAGGGAAGCGUUUGACACCAGUGUUGUUUUCUCGAAAAUCAAUUAAAAAUGAUGGGAUUUUGUGUUGUAUUGACUUUAUCAGCUUUCUGCACUUUUUUCUUAUCUUUUUUAAUGCACUUUUCGUUUAACAAGUCAACAUCAAUUUCUUUUGUUGUAAAAGAGUCAUUGGAAGGUGGCUUUUUCUUCGGAAAAAGUGUUUAUAGCCUUUGGCUUCUGCAAUCGGAGAGAUUGAGGUCUGCAGCGUAGAUCCUUCGGGGUUAGAUACAUUUGUGCUAAGCUAUAGUUCUUUAUAGACAACUUGUUGACUAUAAUCAAUCCUGUAACUUACUCGCUUAUGCUAUUUUACCUACGCUUAGGAUGUUGAACGCGCACAGAGUCUC
Molecule: ribosomal RNA, 774 nt
Filed under: uncultured Neocallimastigales
Lineage: Eukaryota; Fungi; Neocallimastigomycota; Neocallimastigomycetes; Neocallimastigales
Description: partial large subunit ribosomal RNA
Rfam family: Eukaryotic large subunit ribosomal RNA (bases 5-693)
Source: RNAcentral